GUUCAGUAACUUUUGGCAGGCUGACCAAAACCCUCCCCUGCCUUCCCGCUGCUUUUCAUGCAACCCUGUUAAUGACCACCAGCUGUGGGGCCACUCCUCUGACCACUUUGCCUGGCCUCCUGGGUCUUCAGUGCUUUCAGGGCUAAGGGGCCUCUAUAGUCUCCUGCUCUCUGGCUUCCCCCUGCCUCAAGGAUCUCCACCUCCCAGAGCAUUGCCAAUUCAGCAGGAGCUUCCCUGGGGAAACUCUGAAAGCUUCCCUGGUUGGUCAGACGGUAAAGAACCUGCCUGCAAUGCAGGACACUGGGGUUUGACUCCUGGGUCGAGAAGAUCCCUGGAGAAGGGAAUGGCAACCCACUCCAGUGUCCUUGUUUGGAGAAUCCCAUGGACAGAGGAGCCUGUCAGACUACAAUCCUUGGGUUCCCAAAGAGUUGGACACAACUGAGCAACUAACAUUUUCACUUUCUGCAGGUUAUUAGUUCAAAAUGGGUCAUAAAGCAGCAGAGACAACUUGCAACAUCAACAACCCAUUUGGCCAGGGAAGUGCUAAUGAAUGUACAGUGCAACGGUGGUUCAAGAAGUUUUGCAAAGGAGAUGAGAGCCUUGAAGAUGAGGAGUGUAGUGGCCAGCCAUCAGAAGUUGACAAUGACAACUGAGAGCCAUCAUUGAAGCUAAUCCUGACAACUACAUGAGAAGUUGACGAAGAACUCAACAUCAACCAUUUUAAUGUCAUGCAGCUUUUGAAGCAAAUUGGAAAGGUGAAAAAGCUCCCUAAAUGUGAGCCUCAGUGAGC
This is a long non-coding RNA of Bos taurus (domestic cattle), 790 nucleotides long. Lineage: Eukaryota; Metazoa; Chordata; Mammalia; Artiodactyla; Bovidae. The record is from Ensembl.